UUCGCCGUUUAAGUAUUCUCAGAAUUUUCCCUAGCCCUUCUGAUUCAACUUCAAGAACACACGCCCACCACUUACCAGAGAGAGAGAGAGAGAGGCAUUUUAUCUUUUUCUUUCAAUGAUCUAUUGAUUGGGUUUUCUUGAAAGCCUCUUUCUCUCUUUUGUUGAGGAUUUUCUAUAAUUUCAAAAGGCUGCAAAAAAGAUGGGUGGAUCAGAUGAGAACUUUCCGGGUGCGAUCAGGCCAUCAAAUAUUCAAGGGGCACUGGGGCCUGGAGGUGAAAAGUUUCCAGUGGCAGUUGGACAUAGUAGAAGGGCAUUGACUGCAAUCAAUAAGAACAUAAUAGGAAUUCCCCCUUACCCAUCUGCUGUUCACAAGAGAGCUGUCUUGACAGAAAAAAAUGCUAUCAGUAACAAGAAACCUGAUGUGCCGGUGCAUCGACCUAUCACUAGGAAGUUUGCUGCACAAAUAGCUUGCAAACAACAGCAUCCAUAUGUUAAGGAAACCAAGCCAUCAAUCCAACAACAAGUUUCCAAUUCACAUCAAUUGGUAGACUGCCUCAUUGUUGAUGCAGAGGACUACAAAGUAAUCGGUGACUAUGAUGUGCCAAUGUCCGUGCAACAUACAGAAGCUAUGCUCGAAGAAAUUGAUCGAAUGGAUGCGGAAAUUGAAAUGGAAGAAAUCGACGAGGAGGAGUCAGUUGUGGACAUAGAUAGUGCUGAUAAGAAUAAUCCACUUGCAGUUGUCGAAUAUAUUGACAACAUAUAUGCCUACUACAAAAAGACAGAGAGUUGUAGCUGUGUCCAACCAAACUAUAUGGAACAGCAGUUCGACAUCAAUGAAAGGAUGAGAGGUAUUCUUAUCGACUGGCUGAUUGAGGUGCAUUACAAGUUCGAACUGAUGGAUGAGACAUUAUUUUUAACCGUCAGUCUCAUCGAUAGAUUCUUAGCUGUCCAACCAGUGAUAAGAAAGAAACUCCAGCUUGUAGGAGUGACAGCUAUGCUCAUUGCCUGCAAAUAUGAAGAAGUCUCUGUUCCUGUUGUGGAGGAUCUUAUUUUAAUUUCUGAUAGAGCUUACUGCAGAAAAGAAGUUCUUGAUAUGGAGAAAUUGAUGAUCAACACCUUACAGUUUAACCUCUCAUUUCCAACUCCUUACGUGUUCAUGAGACGGUUUCUUAAAGCUUCUCAAUCGGACAUAAAGUUGGAGCUGCUAUCCUUCUUCAUGAUCGAGCUCUGCCUAGUCGAAUAUGAGAUGCUUAGGUUCCCGCCUUCAUUGUUAUAAGCAGCUGCAAUCUUUACAGCCCAAUGUGCUCUCAGCAAGUCAAAGCAGUGGAGUAAGACGAUCGAGAAGCAUACAAAAUACACAGUGGACCAGCUUUUGGAAUGUGCAAAACUAAUGGCAGCUUACCAUCAGAAGGCAGGUACUGGGAAACUAACUGGUGUGCAUAAGAAGUACAGUACCUCAAAAUAUGGAUAUGCUGCUAAAUCAGAGCCUGCUGAUUCUCUCUUAAAUCUUGAAGAAUUUUAGGACAGGGGGGUUGUUUGGGGGUGAAAGUGAGCAACAUAAGUUGCCCCUAGGUGGGGGGCGGUUUCUUGACAACAAGUUGACUUAGCUGAAUAGUUUGUGGGACUUGUUUUGAACUAUUUCUUGUUCUUGUUUAAUCCUCUUUCGGUUUGUUCACAUUUUCAUUUAUUGGAUAUGUAUAUCCAGUGAAUGAUUGAAGGUUGUCCAAAAGUUUAAUUCUUGGUUUUCGUUUCCGAAGAAAAUAUGAAGUCUUUCCAGUUCAAAAUAA
This is an RNA transcript of Olea europaea var. sylvestris, 1787 nucleotides long. It is a transcript of the gene named cyclin-B2-4-like, with no coding region annotated. NCBI's taxonomy places the organism in Eukaryota, Viridiplantae, Streptophyta, Magnoliopsida, Lamiales, Oleaceae. The record is from RefSeq and is a predicted model, not a curated record. The transcript is spliced from 12 exons.